AGUUUUAUAUUUGUCCAUACAACGAAUUACAAUAUCUAUCUCCUGAAGGUAAGUAUACGUGAAACAGAAUAGCUAUAAGCAGCGAGUUUGGAUACGGGGAGCUCGACCUGAGGAAGAAGAAAUAUUUCAAUUUACAAUGGUUCAGGUGUGUGUGGCUUUUGAUAACUGACAUUUAGAUCUUCAGAUCCUUGUGCCAAAGAUAUUUAAGAUACAAUUCUGAGAUCACUUUCCUGAACUUUUGGUCAAAUAUUUCCAAACCUUGCAAUUCCCAGUGAGCGUCUCUUGACCAAAAUAUUGUGACAGCAAAUGUUAUUUUAUUCCAUAGUGUCUAUGAGCCAAUAGCUAUUUUUUAUUGCUGUCUUGCUGAUGCGGGAGGAUGAAGGAGCUGUGUUCGGUUGUUUCUUGAUUAAUACAAAUUAAACCAAGGUACCAAUCUGACGUCAAGAACUGGCAAAUUUUUCAAAUGGCUGUUUGUAAUUACAUGAUUUGACUUGGAUAUAAGAAGGGGACUGGGAUUUGAGAUUGAGGGAAUCAUCUUCAUCUCAUUAUUAUCAAAAUCCUCGGUGAAAUUUAUUUUGUGGAUUUUUUUUUUUUUUUUUUUUUUUUUUUUUGGCUCUGUUCUUGGGAAGUGCUAAGUCGUAGGAGAGGGGAUUGAUCCUCGAGACUUUCGAUCCAUUGGACUUUAUAAUGAUUGUUGUCUUCUUUCAUGAAUAUCUUGAACUAGUUUUGUAGCUACGUCUUGGCUUAGAUUGAUAGUUCUGCAAAUUUGGUCUGCAUUAAAUUCUCUUGACAUCCCAUAAGUUUUGCAAGAUCAACAUAUAUUUCUCUGAUUUAUUUCAAUUUAUAUUUGUAGGCUUGAGUCUCGCAGGAAAAGACCUUCUGGUCCGAGAUUAAGUGUAAUUUUCUAACUAUAGAACUCAUCCAACACAUGCUGCCAUCUUUCUCUUGUACCAUGUUGAUUAAAAUCUAUGUUGUAAUAGUUUAGUGCAGAGGAAGCUGUGCGAUACCAGCUUGAUGCAUUGAUGUUCAAUGACCAACCUCGGCCAGAUUAUGGGAUUGAAGUCAUGUAUAGGGUACUUUAUAAUCUCCAAACUGUUGCUUUGUAUUUAUUGACUUUGAUAUGAUAUUUUUCACCUGUUGCUAUCAUGAUCACACUGAUGUUAUGUUCCAUCAGUUUGCUGGAUUCGAUCCUUUUGAAAGAUCUACCUAUUUUGGGCCCUUCUUUGAUUUAGGGCAGGUCAGUAAGUAUUUAAUUUUUAUAAAUUUACGUUGGCUGUUUUUACAAUUCUUCUUCAUGAUUUUGGUUGCCACCACCCAGAAAGGUACCAUGUAGUAUAUGGGAAAAGUGAAGUACUAUCUGAAGCAUUUCAAAUUUGCUCAAUCAUCAAAGUACCAAAUCAAUGCAUUGUUCCUACUAUAUUGUCUUGUAAUUUGUGCAGUUCGAACGGUUUAGGCGGAUCUUCCACCAUUCAAGUUACAGAGUUUUGCUAGGUCACCGGGAAAGAAAGAUCUUAAGCAGUUUACUUGUGAAGGAGGUAAUGGAGUUUUAUAUUUGUCCAUACAACGAAUUACAAUAUCUAUCUCCUGAAGGUAAGUAUACGUGAAACAGAAUAGCUAUAAGCAGCGAGUUUGGAUACGGGGAGCUCGACCUGAGGAAGAAGAAAUAUUUCAAUUUACAAUGGUUCAGGUGUGUGUUGCUUUUGAUAACUGACAUUUAGAUCUUCAGAUCCUUGUGCCAAAGAUAUUUAAGAUACAAUUCUGAGAUCACUUUCCUGAACUUUUGGUCUAAUAAUUCCAAACCUUGCAAUUCCCAGUGAGCGUCUCUUGACCAAAAUAUUGUGACAGCAAAUAUUAUUCUAUUCCAUAGUGUCUAUGAGCCAAUAGCUAUUUUUUAUUGCUGUCUUGCUGAUGCGGGAGGAUGAAGG
RNAcentral lists this long non-coding RNA (1925 nucleotides) under Olea europaea (common olive). RNAcentral's name for it is "long non-coding RNA (OEUR_LNC002846)". Lineage: Eukaryota; Viridiplantae; Streptophyta; Magnoliopsida; Lamiales; Oleaceae. The record is from RNAcentral.